RNAcentral lists this ribosomal RNA (1130 nucleotides) under Austroboletus festivus. RNAcentral describes it as "eukaryotic LSU rRNA". The stretch from base 713 to 1130 matches the Rfam family "Eukaryotic large subunit ribosomal RNA", at positions 1 to 411 of the family's 3401-position model. Lineage: Eukaryota; Fungi; Basidiomycota; Agaricomycetes; Boletales; Boletaceae. The record is from RNAcentral.
CAUUAUUGAUUUCCGAGUAGAGUAAGUCUAAGGGGGGAGGGGGGGAUCUUGGAACUGUAGCUGGCCAUAUAUACAUAUGACAUGUGCACGUUCUGUGAUUUUUCAUUGACCUUUUUCUUACUCUCACUCUUACUUUCACACCUGUGCACCUAUUGUAGGUUGUGCUCGCAAGGGCCUGAUCUAUGUGGUUUUUCAUCACACAUUUAUUUGUAUGGUCUAUGAAAAUGGGGAAUAUAAUAAAUCUAUACAACUUUCAGCAACGGAUCUCUUGGCUCUCGCAUCGAUGAAGAACGCAGCGAAUUGCGAUAAGUAAUGUGAAUUGCAGAUUUUCAGUGAAUCAUCGAAUCUUUGAACGCACCUUGCGCUCCUUGGUAUUCCGAGGAGCAUGCCUGUUUGAGUGUCAUUUGAAUUCUCAACCUUGUCUUGAUUUAUUUUUCAAGGCAAGGAUUGGAUUGUGGAGGGUGCUGGCCUCCAAUUUAUAUAAGGGGGCAGGUCAGCUCUUCUGAAAUGGAUUAGCAAAAAGUGGUUAACAAAAAUGGCCGUCAUAACCUUCUGACGUGAUAAUGAUCGUCGUUAGGGAGAUGGGGUCGUAGUUGACUUGAAUUUGCUUGAAAAUUUAGAUCUGUAUUCCUUGAAAAAGUGUGCUUAGCUACUAGAGUUAGGAUCGAACGCGGCACUAAAAGGGGAGGAGUAUGUGUGAUCUUGACAACCUUGACCUCAAAUCAGGCAGGAUUACCCGCUGAACUUAAGCAUAUCAAUAAGCGGAGGAAAAGAAACUAACAAGGAUUCCCCUAGUAACUGCGAGUGAAGCGGGAAGAGCUCAAAUUUUGAAUCUGGCGGUGUUGGGCCGUCCGAGUUGUAAUCUAGAGAAGUGUUUUCCGCGCUGGACCGUGUAUAAGUCUCCUGGAAGGGAGCGUCAUAGAGGGUGAGAGUCCCGUCUUUGACACGGGCGAACCAGUGCUAUGUGAUGCGCUCUCAACGAGUCGAGUUGUUUGGGAAUGCAGCUCAAAAUGGGUGGUAAAUUCCAUNUAAAGCUAAAUAUAGGCGAGAGACCGAUAGCGAACAAGUACCGUGAGGGAAAGAUGAAAAGAACUUUGGAAAGAGAGUUAAACAGUAUGUGAAAUUGCUGA